Molecule: long non-coding RNA, 1058 nt
Organism: Homo sapiens (human)
Lineage: Eukaryota; Metazoa; Chordata; Mammalia; Primates; Hominidae
Gene: ZNF594-DT
Product: ZNF594 divergent transcript
Source: Ensembl
ACCGCCGAGAGGCCGCGUCCUCAGCUGGUCCUAGACAUGCGUGGCGUCGGGGCUGUGGCACGGUCGGGUCCGGGGACACUUGUUUAACAAGACAUCUGCCCAUGUCCCUGGCCCAUCUCAUUGGCUGCAGCACAUCACAGUGGACCUUCUGCCUCCUCCCAGAUGCCCAGGGACAGUGAUCUGGAAGGAAGGGGCUUGAGGCUGUUUUCCUAGAACUCGACUUGAAUGCACCAAGGAAAGGCCAUUUGUGGGGACAUAGCAAGAAGGCAGCUGUCUGCAAGCCAGGAGGAGAACCCUCACCAGAAACCUCACAGAAAUCGGCCAACACCCUCAUCUCGGGCUUCCAGCUUCAGAACAACGAGAAAACAAAUUUCUGUUGUGUCCUGGUUCCCAUUUGUAAUUGGCACCCUAAUGAAACCGUUUUCUGUAGCCCUGGAAAUGGCUGAAAAUGAGGGGAGGGAAAUAAAGUGCUAUAAUUCAGAGCAUGGAGCACACCUUCCUGGUUCACCUGAGCUGGAUUCGGAGAGGUAAAAUGGCCAUUACCUCGUCUAAGCUGCCACUUACAGACACAGUACAGGAUGAGGCCCAGACCCACAGAGACAACGAUGAUGGCCACAGCUAAGAUGAUCCAGAAAUUAUUCCUCCACCAGCUCAUUGCAGUGGAAUCCUGAGAAGAAUGGAGAGAGAAGAAUGAGGAACUUGGGGUCAGCUCUUAUCCAGUUCAAGCCACUUAUGACCAUCAAUCCUUCAACUUGGUCUGUGUGAGUGUCCAGUAGGUGACGUUUGAUGUCAGAGCGCCAAAAACUCCAUCUUCCAUCAUGCUAAUGCCACCAUUUUGUGAACCUGCAUCCUAUGAAGAACGAUGAAGCUUGACUAGGCUUGCACAGAUUGCCGAUGUCCUACUUUUCCCUCCAAUCACCUUCCCCACACCUUAGGCCACCUGCUUCUUUGUCCCAUAAACGUCUCUAAACCCCAUCUUCGAGGAAGUGGGUUUGAGACCUGUUUUCCCAUCUCCUCACUUGGCUGCCUCAUGAAUAAAUGCAUUCUGUGCUGCAAAA